CUCCGUGUUGCCUAGACCAUGGCCUUGCCCAACACAAGUUAUAAAUUCGGGCACCGCCGGGAAUCGAACCCAGUACCCCAGGAUUACAAGUCCAGCGUUCUAACCGCUAGACCACCGUGGCAGUGUAAUAAAUUCACUAAGCCAGGAAAAGGAAUGAUGAGCAAGAAGCUCAAGAAAUAGGAUUUAACAACAACAUCAGUUAUUGAAAACAAAUAGCGAAGAUGAAACUGAAAAAGGCGUCCCAGGAGAAAAUUUGCCCCACAAAAUCUACGGAAAACGUCAAUUUUACUGAUGAAGAAUCCGUUUUCUUGGAUUGUGAUUUGAGAACAUUCCAACAAACGUUGUUACGGCAAUGCUUAAUGUCAUAGUUUCCUACAGAGACAUUUACAGUGCCAAACCUAAAACAAUAAGCAAAGGUUAUGUGACUUCUUUUUCAAAAACCAUUUCCCUAUGCUCAACCUUUGCUGAUGAAUAGCCGCACAAAAACCAUCCGCACACAUAAGAAGAAUUAAAAAAAAUACUGAGCUAUACGUUUCAAAUGUGACUGCAGAAACAUGAGGAAAAGAGCGAAUACAUUCAUUGCUGAAUGUGGUGAACAUUUGCAACAUUUAAUAUUAGCUCUUUAUGAUUUUAUUGUAAUCUAUUUUUUGACAUAAAGAAUAUGUGUCAAAAAUGA
This is a non-coding RNA of Zootermopsis nevadensis, 676 nucleotides long. Lineage: Eukaryota; Metazoa; Arthropoda; Insecta; Blattodea; Termopsidae. The record is from RefSeq and is a predicted model, not a curated record.